CAAAAAGAUAAGAGAUAAUGAGAGACAGGACUAGCUGGAUUUCCUAGGCCGACUAAGAAUCCCUAAGCCUAGCUGGGAAGGUGACCGCAUCCACCUUUAAACACGGGGCUUGCAACUUAACUCACACCCAACCAAUCAGAGAGCUCACUAAAAUGCUAAUUAGGCAAAAACAGGAGGUAAAGAAAUAGCCAAUCAUCUAUUGCCUGAGAGCACAGCAGGAGGGACAAGGAUCGGGAUAUAAACCCAGGCAUUCGAGCCGGCAACAGCAACCCCCUUUGGGUCCCCUCCUUCCUAUGGGAGCUUUGUUUUCACUCUAUUUCACUCUAUUAAAUCUUGCACUGCACUCUUCUCGUCCAUGUUUGUUACGGCUCGAGCUGAGCUUUUCGCUCGCCGUCCACCACUGCUGUUUGCCACUGUCGUAGACCCGCCCCUGACUCCCAUCCCGCCACUGACUCCCAUCCCUCCAGAUCCGGCAGGGUGUCCGCUGUGCUCCUGAUCCAGCAAGACUCCGGUUGCCACUCCUGAUUUUGCUAAAGGCUUGCCAUUGUUCCUGCACGGCUAAGUGCCUGGGUUCGUCCUAAUUGAGCUGAACACUAGUCACUGGGUUCCACGGUUCUCUUCCAUGACCCACAGCUUCUAAUAGAGCUAUAACACUCACUGCAUGAUCCAAGAUUCCAUUCCUUGGAAUCCGUGAGGCCAAGAAUCCCGGGUCAGAGAACACAAAGCUUGCCACCAUCUUGGAAGCGGCCCACCACCAUCUUGGAAGCGGCUUGCCACCAUCUUGGGAACUCUGUGAGCAAGGGCCUCAGGUAACAUUUUGGUGACCACGAAGUGACCUCCAAAGCGAUGCGGAGUCUCACUGUGUUGCAAAUUCCUGACCUCAAGUGAUCUUCCUGCCUGGGCCUCAAAGUGCGGGGAUUAUACGCAGGGGCCACUGCUUUCAGCCUUUAAAUUCUGUUAAAAACAGCGUUGGUGAGAAAGAAAAUGUCUACUUCCUGAGAAAGACUGAUAAGAAUCUAAAAGGCAUAAUUUUCUCAUAAAAGGGCAGCUGCAUAUGUUGGCAUGAUUGAUGAGAUCUGCUACAGUCAAGCAAGCAGCCCUGGGUGACCAGUUUACCCUUCCCUGCGAGGGUUCCAGCUGCCAGUUGCCCCCAUUCUGUGACAGCUUCUCCUUCUCCUCACCUUGUCAUCCAGCCAAGAUUGUACACUGUAGGAGUACAGGUGAGCAUCUGCCUCCAUAAUCAUUGCCAACAGCCCUCCAUUAUCAACUGCCAGGGGUGCUUCAAAGCAAUGUGGAGUUCUUUCUCUUGACACAGGGACCAAGUGUAUUUAUGCCUGAAACAAACUCUGCCUUUGCUGACUAGGGAAACUCACAUGUAAAAUGUUUUUUUUUAAUUGCAUCACAAAUCACUACAGUAUUAUAAAACAGGUCGUAGCAUCCUCCAGCCCUCACCACCAUGACCCCCAUCAGGUAUUGUACAUUAGACUAUGUAAAGACCUUUCACUUAAAAAUAGGGAUUUUCUCCCUGGUUAUUAUAUUCUCAUAUAAAAGAAAAAAUAAAAAGCUCUGUCAAACAUUUUCACUCCAGCGUCGUGUAAAUUAAAUCUACCUAUAAAGGUGAAUUAUCUUACAACAUCUGUCCUUCUGUUUGUACAGCCACACCAUGUGUGGAUCAGAAAUAAACAAGACAGAUAAUUUGUGUAUAGCAACAUUAAAGUGAAUUCUACUGUUUUGGUUUUUAACUGCAUGAUGUUAAAAUUUUUAUUGUUAAAUGAUCUAUGGUUGUAAUUUAAUAUUUACUGAGAGUCCACAGUAAUCUAGGAACUAUAUGGACUAUAAAUAAGAUGUAACUCCU
Molecule: long non-coding RNA, 1855 nt
Filed under: Homo sapiens (human)
Lineage: Eukaryota; Metazoa; Chordata; Mammalia; Primates; Hominidae
Description: HSALNT0202447
Source: RNAcentral